Long non-coding RNA from Arvicola amphibius (Eurasian water vole), 424 nucleotides. RefSeq lists it as uncharacterized. Lineage: Eukaryota; Metazoa; Chordata; Mammalia; Rodentia; Cricetidae. The record is from RefSeq and is a predicted model, not a curated record. The transcript is spliced from 4 exons.
GGACAAGGCCUGGGGACCUAGAGAGAUGACCUCCAGAGACUGAGAAGCUCAGUGGGCUUCUGAAAGCAGAGCUGUCAGACAGUCUGAAUUCCUGGGGAAGCCUGAGUGGUAUCGAUGACAUCACCGUCCUCUCUGGAAGUGCACUUUCUCUUGCCAGAUUCUGACAAUGACAUUGAGAGCUUAGUAUUAUUAUCCUUAUUUACAUGUGAGGAACCUAGGACUUGGCCGAGCAGUUCGCGCUGUGAAUGGUACCCUUGAAGUUCAGAAGAAGGUAUCAGAUCUCUUCGAACUAAAAAUGUGUCAGGAACUGAACGUGGGUCCUCUGGAAAGACAGCCAGUGCUCUUAACCACUGGGCCAUCUCUCUGGCCCCAACCAUCCUUCUUCUGUUUUCUUUUUUCAAGACGGUUUCUCUGUGUAGCCCUA